UCCCUGAUGGUCUAGUGGUCAGGAUUCGGCGCUCUCAUCGCCGCGCCCUGGGUUCGAUUCCCAGUCAGGGAA
This 72-nucleotide transfer RNA is filed under the name Danionella translucida. It matches the Rfam family "tRNA". Rfam says of the family: Transfer RNA (tRNA) molecules are approximately 80 nucleotides in length. Their secondary structure includes four short double-helical elements and three loops (D, anti-codon, and T loops). Further hydrogen bonds mediate the characteristic L-shaped molecular structure. tRNAs have two regions of fundamental functional importance: the anti-codon, which is responsible for specific mRNA codon recognition, and the 3' end, to which the tRNAs corresponding amino acid is attached (by aminoacyl-tRNA synthetases). tRNAs cope with the degeneracy of the genetic code in two manners: having more than one tRNA (with a specific anti-codon) for a particular amino acid; and 'wobble' base-pairing, i.e. permitting non-standard base-pairing at the 3rd anti-codon position. Lineage: Eukaryota; Metazoa; Chordata; Actinopteri; Cypriniformes; Danionidae. RNAcentral also lists the same sequence under 1 other name. The record is from Rfam by way of RNAcentral.